UACGGAGGGUGCAAACGUUGUUCGGAAUCAUUGGGCGUAAAGCGCACGCAGGCGGUCGUGAAGGUCGGAUGUGAAAUCCCGGGGCUCAACCCCGGAAUUGCGUUCGAAACCGUGCGACUGGAGUCUCGGAGGGAGAAGGGGAAUUCCUGGUGUAGGGGUGAAAUCCGUAGAUAUCAGGAGGAACACCGGCGGCGAAAGCGCCUUCUUGGCCGUAGACUGACGCUGAGGUGCGAAAGCGUGGGGAGCAAACAGG
Molecule: ribosomal RNA, 253 nt
Filed under: uncultured bacterium
Lineage: Bacteria
Description: partial 16S ribosomal RNA
Rfam family: Bacterial small subunit ribosomal RNA
Source: RNAcentral